Long non-coding RNA from Gallus gallus (chicken), 1178 nucleotides. Lineage: Eukaryota; Metazoa; Chordata; Aves; Galliformes; Phasianidae. The record is from Ensembl.
GUCAUAACAUUACCAAAUUGAAGAGAACUGCUCAGAAUAACAUCUCAAGCACCAUCUCAACCACACGUGCAAAUGAAGAGUGUUGAGAAGUAUCUGAACCUGGAGCAGUCUACACUAAACACCUGGCCACCUCUCAGGAUUCUCAAAAAGCAAAUGAAGGGAAGUGUCAGGGAGCAAGUGGAGGGAAGAAGAAAGAAAAAGAGUCGAAGAAUGAAGAACCCCUCAGGGAGCAUUCACAGUGCCAAAGAGAUACUCAUUUUCAAGCACCAUCUGUCAAGAUCUACUCGGAGCUUUUUCUUUCUCUGUAUUUAUUCCCUCCCCCAGGUUUUACCAUCCCACUGCUUCAAUGGCUUGAGCAACAAAAUGUUAUCUUGAGACUGAGUAAACCACAGUGAGAGUCAACUCCAAUAGGCAUGGUUUGGAUGCUAGAGACAUUUGUCUGCAGUGAUAGACUUGCAACUUUCUUUCACUGCUGCUAUGGUACAAGUUUCAAGAAAGGAAAGAAAAAUAAAACUCUGAGAUUUGCCCCAAAAGUCUGGGUGAGUCUGCCAGUUGAGAUAACAUCCUUCCCUAGAUCAGCUGUGAAAGAGCAACAUUAACUCUGCCUCCAUGCAAGCAGUUGCUGAAUGGAGACUAAUUCCACAACUCAGUUUUGAAACCUUUUUCCAUUCUGUUUAAAUCUAUACAUCAUCUGAUUUGUUAAAGUAAUUUAUUGAGAUGUAGCAACUUCAACAGGCAAUAGGACCUUCUCAUCUUCCUAGAAGUUUGUAUUAGACAACCCUUAGGUUACAAAGAAUGCAGAUGUUAUAUUUAUUAUUUACUAAUAUUUAUAUGCCAUGUUUAAGUCAUGUGUGAUAACUCCAUAGAGAAAGUAAUGACCAUGAGAGAUCACAGGUUGUCAUUCCUAAGUAACAACAUAUUUAUCAGGAGUGAUGAGGGCAGCAAGUCCAGUGUUUCUGAACCAUGAAAUCCAGUAUUGCCAGAAUGGUUGGCUGGGAAAAUAGCAGUUGUGUUUUACCAGAAAUUCCAGGCAUCCUACUUCAUUUGUGGAUUCUUUAGUAUGAUUCUCAAGUUCUCAUACAAGUGGAACAGAAGUAGGGUUGAACAAAGCUACUUAAGGAUAACCACUAUAAAAAGCAGCUACAGAAUUUUCCAUUGGAUAUAGUACACAGACAAAU